Non-coding RNA from Fusarium oxysporum f. sp. cubense, 120 nucleotides. The record is from Rfam. Lineage: Eukaryota; Fungi; Ascomycota; Sordariomycetes; Hypocreales; Nectriaceae.
ACAUAUAACCAUACCUACCAGAGAACUCGGGAUCCCGUCUACUCUCCUAUAGAUAAGCUGGUAAGGGGCAGAUUAGUAGUUAGGUCGGUGAUAACCAGCGGAUCCCUGCUAUUAUAUAUU